Molecule: long non-coding RNA, 1068 nt
Organism: Salvelinus namaycush (lake trout)
Lineage: Eukaryota; Metazoa; Chordata; Actinopteri; Salmoniformes; Salmonidae
Exons: 7
Source: RefSeq, a predicted model, not a curated record
UAAGUGUAUGUAAACUUCUGACUUCAACUGUAUUACAAAAAGAGAUUCAGCUUGGUUUCGUGAACUUACUGGACUACCCAGAACCAGACGUGUGCCUAAGGACGUCCAAAUUCAAUAAAAUCUAACAGAAAACGUGACCAUUGGCUGGACAAUCCUGGACUUUGAGAGACUGGCGGUUAAGAAAAGACAUGGCUCAGCUGUGUCUGCACAAGAGGAACAUUACCACCCCCUGUUACUAAAUUACAAAGGAGCUUGGCUGAAGACUUCAUCCUUUAUUGUGUCUGAUUCUAUAAAUAUUCAUGGUCGGCAUAUAUCAAUGGCCAAUCAGAUCACAAUCGGAACUAGCAGAUGAUCUGUGGAGGAAGCUGAGCCAAGUCCCGUCCAGGGUUUUCUUCAUCGUCUAGUCCUGUGAGGAAUCGUCAAGGUCUGAGGGCCUCUGUGCACAAAGUGUCCUGAAAUGUCAUCCUCCAGACAGCAGAUUAGUCAUGGAGCCCUAACGUUCUCUCUACACUUCCCUUCCCGGUCCGUCCACCUGUGAUGUGAGUUCUGGGCCGGUUUCACUGGCUCGGACAGAAGCAGGCGCUGCGAACAUGACAUGAAAGAAAAAACAAGUCUACUGAGAGGAUCCAAACUGUCCUCAUCACUCACACCUUAUGUUAGACCUUGUCUUUAAAAAAAUGCAUGGGAUACUCUAUUUACGGCUUGAAACAGGUGUUCAGGGACCUCUCUAAACAGAUUUGCAAAAUGAGAUAAAACCAAAUGUACCAAGACUAACAAACUCCACUGCUGGAUAAGUAGAUUGCAUAGUCAUGUUUGGCCGUUUAAAUAUUCUUCGUGUGAAAUUACAGUAAUGGGGGUUAAACCAUUGUGAACCCAGAUCAUUGAUUAAAUGCCAGGGUUUCUGUAAAAAUAAUCUAGGAUUAGACUGUCUGUAUUGAGGAUAAUUGGGGGGAUUUCUGGUGUGUGAGACUGCAGUACAGUGGUGUAAAGUACUAGUUAAGUAGUUAUUUGGGGUAUCUGUACUUUACUAUUAAUAUGUUUGACAACUUUUACUUUUACUUCACUACA